UACAGAGGUGGCAAGCGUUGUUCGGAAUUAUUGGGCGUAAAGGGCGCGUAGGCGGCCUGGCAAGUGGAAGGUGGAAUCCCUCGGCUUAACCGAGGAACUGCCCUCCAAACUGCUUGGCUUGAGUCCGGGAGAGGUGAGUGGAAUUCCCAGUGUAGCGGUGAAAUGCGUAGAUAUUGGGAGGAACACCAGUGGCGAAGGCGGCUCACUGGACCGGAACUGACGCUGAGGCGCGAAAGCGUGGGGAGCAAACGGG
RNAcentral lists this ribosomal RNA (253 nucleotides) under uncultured bacterium. RNAcentral's name for it is "partial 16S ribosomal RNA". It matches the Rfam family "Bacterial small subunit ribosomal RNA", at positions 524 to 776 of the family's 1533-position model. The record is from RNAcentral.